GUACUGUUAAUCGCAUGAUUUGAUAGUUAAAGCCUUCGGUGGUUAUAGAUGGGUAUGCGUAAGAUUAGCUAGUUGGUAAGGUAACGGCUUACCAAGGCGACGAUCUUUAGGGGGCCUGAGAGGNUGAUCCCCNACACUGGUACUGAGACACGGACCAGACUCCUACGGGAGGCAGCAGUGAGGAAUAUUGGUCAAUGGAGGCAACUCUGAACCAGCCAUGCCGCGUGUAGGAAGACUGCCUAUGGGUUGUAAACUACUUUUAUUCAGGAAGAAACCCAGAUACGUGUAUCUGGNUGACGGUACUGAAAGAAUAAG
This 315-nucleotide ribosomal RNA is filed under the name uncultured bacterium. RNAcentral's name for it is "bacterial SSU rRNA". It matches the Rfam family "Bacterial small subunit ribosomal RNA", at positions 173 to 490 of the family's 1533-position model. The record is from RNAcentral.